Molecule: ribosomal RNA, 430 nt
Filed under: Bacillota bacterium
Lineage: Bacteria; Bacillati; Bacillota
Description: Firmicutes bacterium partial 16S ribosomal RNA
Rfam family: Bacterial small subunit ribosomal RNA
Source: RNAcentral
UGGGGAAUAUUGGACAAUGGGCGCAAGCCUGAUCCAGCCAUGCCGCGUGUGUGAAGAAGGCCUUUUGGUUGUAAAGCACUUUAAGCGAGGAGGAGGCUACUGAGAUAAAUACUCUUGGAUAGUGGACGUUACUCGCAGAAUAAGCACCGGCUAACUCUGUGCCAGCAGCCGCGGUAAUACAGAGGGUGCGAGCGUUAAUCGGAUUUACUGGGCGUAAAGCGUGCGUAGGCGGCUUCUUAAGUCGGAUGUGAAAUCCCUGAGCUUAACUUAGGAAUUGCAUUCGAUACUGGGAAGCUAGAGUAUGGGAGAGGAUGUUAGAAUUCCAGGUGUAGCGGUGAAAUGCUUAGAGAUCUGGUGGAAUACCGAUGGCGAAGGCAGCCAUCUGGCCUAAUACUGACGCUGAGGUACGAAAGCAUGGGGAGCAAACAGG